Molecule: ribosomal RNA, 139 nt
Filed under: uncultured eukaryote
Lineage: Eukaryota
Description: partial 18S ribosomal RNA
Rfam family: Eukaryotic small subunit ribosomal RNA
Source: RNAcentral
UGGUGGAGUGAUUUGUCUGGUUAAUUCCGUUAACGAGCGAGACCCUACCUGCUAAAUCGUCGCACGUAGCCGCGGCUACAUGUCGAACUUCUUAGAGGAACUUUGUGGACCUAAUGCAACGAAGUGCGAGGCAAUACCA